UGCCAGACUCCUACGGGAGGCAGCAGUGGGGAAUCUUCCGCAAUGGGCGAAAGCCUGACGGAGCAACGCCGCGUGAUCGAAUGAAGGCCUUCGGGUUGUAAAGAUCUGUUGACAGGGACGAAUAAGCAAUGCGAAUAGUUUUGUGUAUGACGGUACCUGUUUAGAAAGCUCCGGCUAACUACGUGCCAGCAGCCGCGGUAAUACGUAGGGAGCAAGCGUUGUCCGGAAUUACUGGGCGUAAAGGGCGCGUAGGUGGGCGCUUAAGUCAGGUGUGAAAACUCCGGGCUCAACCUGGAGACUGCACUUGAACCUGUUGGUCUUGAGUAUCGGAGAGGCAGGCGGAAUUCCUAGUGUAGCGGUGAAAUGCGUAGAUAUUAGGAGGAACACCAGUGGCGAAGGCGGCCUGCUGGACGACAACUGACGGUGAGGCGCGAAAGCGUGGGGAGCAAACAGGAUUAGAUACCCCGGUACU
This 472-nucleotide ribosomal RNA is filed under the name uncultured bacterium. RNAcentral describes it as "bacterial SSU rRNA". It matches the Rfam family "Bacterial small subunit ribosomal RNA", at positions 329 to 794 of the family's 1533-position model. The record is from RNAcentral.